AUGAAGUAUUUCUCAAAGGAAGUCCACCCUCAUCCGUGUCCCUCUUACCCACACGUCUCACUCCUGCAAUUACAGGCUUCUGCCCGGCCUUUGCAGGGCGCCUGUGUGCGAGUGAAGACGAGUGAUGGAGAUGAACUAUCUUUGCUGAAAAGGUUGGCGGAUGUGCAUCAGCAUGGAAAAACAAUCCAGACCGAGGGUGGCAGGCAUCAAAGGGCAGGAAGAGAAGAGAACCCACACCCACUGAGCUAACAUUUAAACUCUAUCCAAUCCCACCAGGAACCAAAGGCACCGCGCUGAACGUCAGAUUUAACCCAGAAAUAUGUAUGAAAAAAUCUGCUUUCUCUUGCUUUCAAAGGGGUUCAAAGGGACAAUGAAACUUCAUCAAAGCGCCACAUCCUUCUUUUGCCCUUACAUUUACCAGCUUGGCAGAACAUGAAUGCAGUGUCCUUCAGAUUUCAGUUUUAUAGCAUCAGAUGACAGGUGCAAAUCUAUCUACAGUGUCUGUCUAUCUUUACUUAGAUCAUGAAUAAGUGUUGUUCUGACAGGUGAGCUUCUGUACAUAAACAUCCUGUAUCACAACCCACUUGAUGUUUGAUGUACGAAUUUAACGGCAUUUGAACAGAAAAUAUCAAAUUGCAAAAAAAAACUUUUUUAUUCACUUUAGAGUUCGCACUAAAUUUGUGUUUUAUUAGUUUAUGUAAAAAUGUGUAAAAUGGGUGGUGAUAUGACAUUCCUUAUGAUGGUCAAAUGAUGUCAAAAAUUAAAGAACCCAGAAUUCUAUUCCAAUCCAUUUAUUUGUUUUAUUAUAAUUUAUUGUUUAAAAAACAAUAUACAUUUAUUUAAAAAAAAAAUAAGUUUUUUUUGUUUGUUUGUUUUUGGUGUAUUUUUAUUUAAUUAAUUGUUGGUUUGUUUUGAUAUAUAUAUAUAUAUAUAUAUAUAUAUAUAUAUAUAUAUAUAUAUAUAUAUAUAUAUAUAUAUAUAUAUAUAUAUAUUUAUUUAUUUAUUUAUUUAUUUUUUCUGACUGUAUGAAGUCAGUUUUCAUUGAGUUCAUCACAGUCAUUGAUUAUGGACAUUUUCCACUAACAUUUGACAUCCAUUAAGUGCUCAGAUCCUUUGCUCUGUUCCAGUUAGUUUUUAAUUAGAUUUAACUUUUAACAUUUUUAUAUUGACUUAGAUAUAUUUCUCUUGACUUUAUUUGUUUUGUUAAUGCAACUGUAUUCAUACAUUUUAAAGAGUUGCUUAAUGUGUCCAAAUUCAUUCUGGGGUCAUUUUCAUUCUUUAGUCACAGUACCUUCCCUGAGCUCCUCAUUCAGUUCGCGGAUAGCCACACGCACAUUUAUCACACUCUUUCCCAUUUUAAAUCCAUUCGGUUUUGUGCUCACUGUCCUAGUUCAUGAUAAAUAAGUUCUUCACCCCGUGUUCACCACCCAGACAAGCAUGAGAAAUUAUGGUCCUAAUUGAUUCUCAUUUUCAAAGGAUGCUCCCCCCCCCAUCGUCCCAAGAAUUAAACCAUUAAAAGAAAGGCUCAAACUUCUUAAUCUCUGCAAAUCGGACUAAUCCAGCAUUGCAGAAAUGCAGGCUUUGGAGAGAAUGGCUUCUUAAGCCUACUAUGCUGUGCAUAGGUGUUGCUUAGCGCUUCUGUGGGGGAGUGUGCGCCGGGGAUCCAUUCAUAUGAUUAUGAGGCGAGGGUUAAAGUCACAGUUUAGGGUGAGAGAAUGAGAAGUUUGCUUCUGUUUCUCCUCCUAUCUCUCUCGCUCUCUCUCCAUUUUGAUGUCUUCUGCCUCCUCUAUGCCCUCCGGGAGCUCAGUGUUUAUUGGCUGCCUGAAAUACACCCAUCUUUCCACCAGCCCCCGGCUAGCAUUGUCUCAACAAAGCCUGUUACUUGAUGGUUCAAUAGGGGCUUUUUGGGUGUGAUUUCCCUGCUUUCUCUCUCUCUCGGUCUCGGUAGCUGCCGUCUCGGCUCAGGAGCAUGGCGAAUGGGAUCAGAAGCAAACAGCCUCACUGAUAACGAUGAAGGGCAAAUAUUGAAGCCUCAUUGUUUGUUUGUUUUUUUUUCUAGCUCCCCUGCUUCUGUCUGCAUCGUCUUUCACAUUCUGAUUUAUAUUCAUCUAAACGCUGACAUUAACUCUCCAUUCAGGCUUAUUUUCAAAUGCAAGCCUUUGACAACUAUAUUCUGAUUAAUGUGGAAUUCUAUUUAUUACACUUUAAAUUAAUGAUGCUUUACAUCUAGUUGACUUGUGACUUUUCUCUGCUGUAGUCCACUUAUAAUAUUAUAAAUGUUUUUUGGGGUUUUUCAGGAUUUUCUACCCUCUUUUCUAUGUUAGGCCUAUUCACACCAAUUAUGUUAUCAUGUUCUGUUCAUUAGCAUGUUCUGUUUGCAAAUUUGCUUCUAGUGAUGCGAUAUGUACACUAUUCUUUGGCGGAAAAGCCUCUUUAGUCAUUCAAAAUGAACUGUAAUUAGACUAAAUAUGUUUUGACGUUUUAUAAGUGGGAAUUUUUGGAAGUUCUUAAAAAUGUGAAAUGGACUCUCCCUGACUACUCCCUUUGACGUCAUGAUUCAUGUAGGAUGGUCUCAAUUUAAGUUUUUGGGUCAGUGUGGUUUCUUUUGGUGCCAGCUGACAGUGUACGUCACUUUCCUGACUCAUUUCCAGAGUAAUUAGUUAGAAAUAGUAGUAUCUACCCUAUAUAAUUGCUAUUACCUCAGAGUGACUGGGUCCUUUUUGAACACAGAAUAUGCUAGCUGACAAAUAAAUGUGGUCAUGAAUAGGGGGUUUUCAUGUCAGGAAUCUGAGGAGGAGCUGUUUUUUUUUUUUUUUUUUCAGAUUCGUUUUAAUAACAGUAAGUUCAAGUUACAAGUAAAAUUUCAUAGUGCAGUGCACUUUGCAGAAGAUCAAGGAAAAUUUGAUUAGCCAUAAUAUGACCACUUUAAAUGGAAUAAAACAAGCUUGUACUGUCUUUGAGCUCUUAGUGAAUCGUGUUUCACGGGAUGCUCCACAUUGCAAGUACAACGCUGUACCAGGUGAGCUAUUGAGCAAGUUUACUAUAUCAGGUAAUCCAUAUGGAGCUGAUUAUGUGAUGAAAAUGUUAACAUGUAUUAGUUUACAAAUCAUGCACUAUGGCAAAAGUAUUGUGAGAUAAUGUAGUAUUGUGCAAGGAACUAUGCAAAAAUAAGUCUUUAUUAAUGACUAUUAUGCCCUUGUAAUUGUAACUUGUGUGAAAAGGAAUAAAAGUUGUUGGUUUUUUACUGCAACUACUGUUCAUUUCAGCUGGAAAAUGUAGUGAAUUGUAUGUAUAGGUAUGGUUUUUGGAGUUUUGCAAAAAAUCUAGGUAGAGACACGUUUUUCCAGUUAGCCUUUGUUGGAUUCUUUAUGUGUGAGUCAUAACCAUUUCAGAUUUAUUCAGCAACGGCACUCAUUGAGGUAGGACGGAGUUACCUUUUUGGGCUUUUCGCUUGGCGGUAAGUGUCUGUCCAGGUCAGGGGGAUGCUCACUGGUCUGAAGAGAUCAUCCUCAGGCACCGGCUGGAGCUCUGACAGAUGGUGUCAAUACACUGCAUAUAGAGAGAGAGAGAGAAUGAAAUAGGAUGAGAGCAACAAAAUGAGACAACAAGAGAGUGAGGAACACUCGGUUUAGUGAGUCACAAGUGAUGGAUACCGAGUACGUCUGUCCUUGGUGUGUGAUGUGACUGCUGAUUGGUUCUGACAGGCCUUUUAGAGUGGUCGUCAGUCUCAGGACUGGAACUCUAUUGGACUGUGCUGGAUCAGAGGGGUGUGGCCUCAGACUUUUACACUAGUUAAACUGUCAUAACUUUAAAGCAGUAGUUCAUCUACUAAUUGUUCAUUUACCCGGUUAAUGUUAUUUUAAAGCAUUAUGACUUUAUGAGGUAAACAAAAGGCGAUAAGGAUGUCUGUAGACCUUGUCUUUGUAAAUGUCUAUUGUAAUUUUUAAGGACCACACACACAUAUAUAUAUAUAUAUAUAUAUACACACAUAUAUAUAUAUAUAUAUAUAUAUAUAUAUAUAUAUAUAUAUAUAUAUAUAUAUAUAUAUAUAUAUAUAUAUAUACACUUAUAUAUAUAUAUAUAUAUAUAUAUAUAUAUAUAUAUAUAUAUAUAUAUAUAUGUAUAUAUAUAUAUAUAUGUGUGUGUGUGUGUGUGUUUAAAAUCA
Molecule: long non-coding RNA, 4165 nt
Organism: Cyprinus carpio carpio
Lineage: Eukaryota; Metazoa; Chordata; Actinopteri; Cypriniformes; Cyprinidae
Source: Ensembl